Molecule: non-coding RNA, 1548 nt
Organism: Nylanderia fulva
Lineage: Eukaryota; Metazoa; Arthropoda; Insecta; Hymenoptera; Formicidae
Source: RefSeq, a predicted model, not a curated record
GUUCUCUCUCGCCAUCGCCAUAUUGAUAUAAAAGUUUGUCUUGUGAAAUACACGAUGUGCAGUAUUCCUGUAUGAUGUAGUUAUCCAAUCCUUCUUGUUGUGUCAAAUAUAAAUUUUAAUUUUUAGUUAUUAAAUUCUACGUGAAAAGAUCAUAUUAAUACAUAUAAUUAUAUAUUGAAAGCUAGCUUUUGAAUUAAAACCAUGUGAAUUGAAUCUUCGGAUAUAUAAUAGUAACGUCAAUAAAUUUUGGUUUAGGUUUUCAAAUACACAUUUGCAUUGAAACUUGAAGCAGUUUUAUUUUAAGGACGCUACUGAUUUUCACAUACGUAUUUGCAUAGAAUCUUGAAGUUUAUUUUUAAGAAGGCUUCUAACAAGUUUAAAGUUAUCAAGAAUUUUGUUUCAUAUAAUUCUGCUAUUAGAGAAACAUAAUAAGUUUUAAAUUCUGGAAAGAUAUUUGCAUUUUUGAGCAUACGGCAUUUUCCGGGACCGCUAAACUUUUUAUAAGAUUAAAACGAUUUAAAUUGUAUCUUCAGCUAUAAUGCAUUAAUUUUGGUUUGAAUGUCCACACACAUCAAUGCAUUAAUGGUUGAAAUAAUAAUUCUAUUUUAAAAAGGGCUUUUGGUUUUCACACCCACAUUUGCGUUGAGACUACUGCGAGAGAGAAGUAGGUUUAUUUUUAAGAAGGCUUCUGAAGGCUUCUGGUAAGUCUACAUUUCACGAGAAUUUUGUCUCAUAUAAUCCUGCUAUUAGAGCAACAUAAUAAGUUUUAAAUUCUGUAAAGCUAUUUGCAUUUUUGAGUAUAUGGCAUUUUCUAGGACAGCAUAAAUUUAUGUAAGGUAUUGCUUUUUCGUAUUAUUUCCAUUAAAAUUUUAAUUUCUAGUUAUAUUUUACUUUAAAAUAUCAUAUUUACAUUAUAAUUAAGUGUUGAAAAUGGAUUUGUAGAUUAAAACAAUUUAAAUUGAAUAUUCGGGUAUAAUGCAUUAAUUUUUGUUUGGAUGUCCACACACAUCAAUGCAUUAAUGGUCGAAAUAAUUCUAUUUUAAGAAGAGCUUCUGUUUUAAUUGCUACUUUAAAAGAUCAUAUUCACAUUAUAAUUACAUGUUGCGAUCUGAUAUUUGGAUUAAAGGUUUUCACAUACACUUUGCAUUGAAACUUAAAGUAGUUUUAUUUUAAGAAAGUUACUGAAUGGAUAAAAAAGAAGCUAAGAGAAAGUUGGAGGAAUUAAUGGAGAAAGAAAAAAAAAUUAAAAAAUAGGAAGAAAGAAUUGGAGGAAUUUUUAAAAGAUAGUGAUGAAGCAGAUGAUGAAGCAGAUGAAGAAAGAGAAGAGAGGCGAGAAAGAGACGAAGGACAGAGAGAACACCAACAACAGCAACAUCAGCAUUGGCACGACGAAGACGAUUCCCGUACGCAGCGUCGGGCUGGAAUAAGACGUGUUGAACGUGAUGCGAGAUAUAAAUGGUCUGCGCGUAGGAAAGAAUACAGAGACGAAACACGUGAAGGAAAUGGAGAAAGAAGAGGAAUGGAAAGCAAGAGGAGGAAGAGGAAUGA